AUACGUAGGGUGCAAGCGUUAAUCGGGAUUACUGGGCGUAAAGCGUGCGCAGGCGGUUUUGUAAGACAGUGGUGAAAUCCCCGGGCUCAACCUGGGAACUGCCAUUGUGACUGCAAGGCUGGAGUGCGGCAGAGGGGGAUGGAAUUCCGCGUGUAGCAGUGAAAUGCGUAGAUAUGCGGAGGAACACCGAUGGCGAAGGCAAUCCCCUGGGCCUGCACUGACGCUCGUGCACGAAAGCGUGGGGAGCAAACAGGAUUAGAUACCCUGGUAGUCCACGCCCUAAACGAUGUCAACUGGUUGUUGGGGAUUUAUUUUCUCAGUAACGAAGCUAACGCGUGAAGUUGACCGCCUGGGGAGUACGGCCGCAAGGUUAAAACUCAAAUGAAUUGACGGGG
RNAcentral lists this ribosomal RNA (395 nucleotides) under uncultured bacterium. RNAcentral describes it as "partial 16S ribosomal RNA". It matches the Rfam family "Bacterial small subunit ribosomal RNA", at positions 523 to 918 of the family's 1533-position model. The record is from RNAcentral.